GAUCAUGGCUCAGGGCGAACGCUAGCUACAGGCUUAACACAUGCAAGUCGAGGGGCAGCAUGAACUUAGCUUGCUAAGUUUGAUGGCGACCAGCGCACGGGUGAGUAACACGUAUCCAACCUUCCCGUUACUCUGGGAUAGCCUUUCGAAAGAAAGAUUAAUACCGGAUAGUAUCGAGAGAUUGCAUGAUAACCCGAUUAAAGAUUCAUCGGUAACGGAUGGGGAUGCGUUCCAUUAG
This 238-nucleotide ribosomal RNA is filed under the name uncultured bacterium. RNAcentral's name for it is "partial 16S ribosomal RNA". It matches the Rfam family "Bacterial small subunit ribosomal RNA", at positions 15 to 244 of the family's 1533-position model. The record is from RNAcentral.